RNAcentral lists this long non-coding RNA (3139 nucleotides) under Olea europaea subsp. europaea. Lineage: Eukaryota; Viridiplantae; Streptophyta; Magnoliopsida; Lamiales; Oleaceae. The record is from RNAcentral.
UCCGUUCGUAGGGAGCUGAACUUGGACGAAAAGGCGUCCAAGUUAUAACAAAUCAAGACGUACCCAGGCAUAAUGAAGAAAAAUCAAAGUGAUUGAACAUUUUGCUUUGUCAGAUAAUCCCAAUAAAUAAUCCAACGAAACAGUAUAAAAUAAGAAGUAGAAGAAGAUAAGUGUAACAAAUCUUAAUCAAAUAAAAAUGGCUCAAAAUUUCUUCACAGAAAUCAAAAUUCCGCAGCAAAAAAUCUUCGAAGGGUUUGUUUUCCCCAAAAUAUUAUCUCCCAACGCAAGAAAUUCAGUAGAAUUUCACAGUUUAACUGACGCCAUUAAAGAUCAGAAGUCAUGGCUGGAUUCUGUUCUGCAUCAACACGGGGCUAUUCUUUUCAGGGGUUUUUCUGUAUCCACUGCUGUUGGCUUCAACGACGUUGUUGAAGCGUUUGGGUACGAGGAACUGCCGUAUGUGGGCGGUGCUGCUCCUAGGACUAACGUCGUUGGCCGGGUCUUCACUGCCAAUGAGUCCCCGCCCGAUCAGAAAAUCCCUUUUCAUCACGAGAUGGCUCAGGUCUGUUUUGCUUAAUAUUGCUCUUGUAAUUGGGAUUACGGCCGAGAAAUUAUAAUCUUGCUUGUGAUUUGAUGCUGUUUCUUCGUUCUGCCUAUGCGUAUGCUAGUGGGGUUACUCCAUAAUCUCAUAAUUCUUGAAUUCUUACGUAGUAUGUAGUUGAAUUUUCACAAUUAAUGUAUAAAAUUUUGAGAAUUUGGCUGCACUUAAUCAACAUCUGUAAACUUAUCUGCAGUAUUCAUAAAAUAUCACAAUUUUUUUUCCCAAUUAAAGGCUCCUCCCGCUGUUUGUUCAUUGAUUGGUAGUGGUUGUAAAUGCGUUGGAAAAUAAAUAAUUUAAGUUUUAAAUUUUCAAAUUAAUACUUUUAAAUUUGUUGUUUCAAUUUUAAUAUCAAUUUAAUGCAAAAUUAAAUUAAUAAUAUUAUAGUAUAACAUAUAUGUUAAAUUGCUUAAUUCUCGUAAGUGUGGGGGUUAAAUUUAUUUAUACCCAUAGUGUAACAUACAUGUAAAAUAACUUAAUUCUCAUAUAUGUGGGGGGUUAAAAUUAAUUUAUCCUUGUGAAAGGGGAAUGAUUUUCAUUGAGAUGAAAAAAAAAAUAAUAUUAAAAGAAAGCUUGAGAACUAGAAUAUAAUAACUUGAAGUAUUAUACUCUCUACACUUUUACAAUAUACUAUUUUGGCAAUUCGAUAAGAAGCUCGUUCACUUAUCUCCCUAUGAUCGUGUCCAUAGAAGGAGAACCGGCUGUGAACCACAUGAGUUUUAUCUUGGAGUAGUGUAACGUCGAAAGUACACGCACGAAAGGGAGACAACACGACUUUAGAAUAGCGUCAUUGAUGUGACUCCCUAAAACUUACAUUUUAACCCUCUUCUUAUUGUUGAAUUAUAAUGUUUAAAUUGUUAUAAUAUUGUUGUGUUCAUACAAUUAUUGAAUUAUGUUAUUUAUAUUUUUUAGUUGAUAUGUUAAUUUACGCACAAAUCACCCAAUUUUCCCAACACUAUUUGAUAGAAUUUAUUUCGCUUUGCUGUUUGCUCCGAGUUUCAUGGUGGAUUCCUACAUGCUAGCUAUGAGUUGUUAAAUUGAAGGUAUAGAUAUUCGGUCAUAAGUUUUGAUUUUAGGCAUGGGUUAUAGACACACACAGACUAAUAUUAAUUAUGUUCCAAAGAUGUUUAGAUAAAUUUCACGAUAUAUAUUAGUUAUAGAAGUAGUUUGUUUGAAGCCGUCUAUUAUCUAUAGCCACUGAAUUCAUUGGGAAAUUAGUUGGUAAAAUUCGUGCAUUGGUGAUGACUCUGCAACAGGUUCCCGAAUAUCCUUCCAAACUGUUUUUCUUUUGUGAAGUGGAGCCUUUAAACGGGGGAGAAACUCCUAUUGUUCUAAGUCAUGUUGUAUAUGAGAGGAUGAAAGAGAAGUACCCAGACUUUGUUCAAAACUUGGAAGAGCAUGGAUUAAUAUAUACACGAGUUCUGGGAGAAGACGACGAUCCUUCAUCUCCCAUUGGUCGUGGGUGGAAAUCGACAUUUUUGACUAAAGAAAAGAGUGUGGCCGAGGAAAGGUUUGUAAUCUUCAUCUAUUUGUCUUCUUAGAAAUUGUUCAAUUUUUGUGACUUGUACUUUUGCAGUGUUCAGCUUAGUUUCAGUAAAAGCCUUUCCGAUGGUAAAACCUGUUGGAAUUUUCGUGUUACUUCAGCAAAAGACAUGCACUAAACAUUUCGAUCUAGUUUUUCUCAUUUUCUUGAUUACAUUAUCCUGUGCACGAAGAGUGUGUCUGUUCGCUAACUUUAGAAACGGAUUCGGACAGCUAUAGGUGACUAAGGGCCUGUUUGGCUGGCUUUUGCUUUUUUAGAAGAGUUUCAUGAGAAAGCUAUAUUGUGACAGCUUCUUCUAAAAGCUCUUCUAACACGGCAAAGCACUUUCCCAAGUAGAUUUUGGCUUUCCAAAAGCCUUGCCAAACAGACAUUAAAUUCUCAACAUGUUUUACUUGGAAACAGUCAAAUAAUUGAAGAUUAAUUUGACUUUUAUCAGGGCUGCUAAGUUAAACAUGAAGCUGGAAUGGACAGAAGACGGAGUGAAAACCAUUAUGGGCCCUAUCCCGGCUAUCAAAUUCGACAAAACGAGGCAGCGCAAGAUUUGGUUCAACAGCAUGGUUGCUGCUUAUACAGGCUGGGAAGAUGCACGAAAUGAUCCGGUCAAGGCAGUCACGUUUGGGAAUGGAAAACCAUUACCAUCUCAUGUCAUCUACGACUGUCUAAGAACCCUAGAUGAUGAAAGUGUUGCCAUACCAUGGCAGAAAGGUGAUGUUUUGUUGAUCGAUAAUUUGGCUGUUCUUCACUCUCGAAGGCCAUUCGCUUCUCCUAGACGCGUCUUGGCUUCGCUUUGCAAGUAGAAGUUUUCUAGCUAUACUUCGCUGAGUCUUUGUAUCUAAAUACAGCUUUUAAGUGGCAUAUGAUACAGUGUGAUAGAGGCAUAUCCUAUUUAGUAGAAAACUUGUACUAUGCAGUUUCAACUUACAAACUAGCGGGUUUUGAGUUUGAACCAUCUCAUUAUUUUAAGAGUAUCUUCAAGAGACUCUUUAAAUAUGAUAAAUAAA